RNAcentral lists this ribosomal RNA (497 nucleotides) under uncultured bacterium. Its description in RNAcentral is "partial 16S ribosomal RNA". It matches the Rfam family "Bacterial small subunit ribosomal RNA", at positions 28 to 507 of the family's 1533-position model. The record is from RNAcentral.
GAUGAACGCUGGCGGCGUGCCUAAUACAUGCAAGUCGAGCGAACGGACGAGAAGCUUGCUUCUCUGAUGUUAGCGGCGGACGGGUGAGUAACACGUGGAUAACCUACCUAUAAGACUGGGAUAACUUCGGGAAACCGGAGCUAAUACCGGAUAAUAUUUUGAACCGCAUGGUUCAAAAGUGAAAGACGGUCUUGCUGUCACUUAUAGAUGGAUCCGCGCUGCAUUAGCUAGUUGGUAAGGUAACGGCUUACCAAGGCAACGAUGCAUAGCCGACCUGAGAGGGUGAUCGGCCACACUGGAACUGAGACACGGUCCAGACUCCUGCGGGAGGCAGCAGUAGGAAAUCUUCCGCAAUGGGCGAAAGCCUGACGGAGCAACGCCGCGUGAGUGAUGAAGGUCUUCGGAUCGUAAAACUCUGUUAUUAGGGAAGAACAUAUGUGUAAGUAACUGUGCACAUCUUGACGGUACCUAAUCAGAAAGCCACGGCUAACUACGUG